This 464-nucleotide ribosomal RNA is filed under the name uncultured Klebsiella sp. RNAcentral's name for it is "bacterial SSU rRNA". It matches the Rfam family "Bacterial small subunit ribosomal RNA", at positions 338 to 795 of the family's 1533-position model. The record is from RNAcentral. Lineage: Bacteria; Pseudomonadati; Pseudomonadota; Gammaproteobacteria; Enterobacterales; Enterobacteriaceae.
CCUACGGGCGGCAGCAGUGGGGAAUAUUGCACAAUGGGCGCAAGCCUGAUGCAGCCAUGCCGCGUGUGUGAAGAAGGCCUUCGGGUUGUAAAGCACUUUCAGCGGGGAGGAAGGCGGUGAGGUUAAUAACCUCAUCGAUUGACGUUACCCGCAGAAGAAGCACCGGCUAACUCCGUGCCAGCAGCCGCGGUAAUACGGAGGGUGCAAGCGUUAAUCGGAAUUACUGGGCGUAAAGCGCACGCAGGCGGUCUGUCAAGUCGGAUGUGAAAUCCCCGGGCUCAACCAGGGAACUGCAUUCGAAACUGGCAGGCUAGAGUCUUGUAGAGGGGGGUAGAAUUCCAGGUGUAGCGGUGAAAUGCGUAGAGAUCUGGAGGAAUACCGGUGGCGAAGGCGGCCCCCUGGACAAAGACUGACGCUCAGGUGCGAAAGCGUGGGGAGCAAACAGGAUAGAUACCCUGGUAGUC